CGCAGGGAGCAACCAAGCCAAAAAAGAGUGAACCGGCAGCGCCUGCAAGAGCGCGGCCGGUAAAU
Leclercia adecarboxylata is the source of this 65-nucleotide non-coding RNA. NCBI's taxonomy places the organism in Bacteria, Pseudomonadati, Pseudomonadota, Gammaproteobacteria, Enterobacterales, Enterobacteriaceae. The record is from Rfam.